Molecule: ribosomal RNA, 406 nt
Filed under: uncultured bacterium
Lineage: Bacteria
Description: partial 16S ribosomal RNA
Rfam family: Bacterial small subunit ribosomal RNA
Source: RNAcentral
AAUAUUGCGCAAUGGAGGAAACUCUGACGCAGCGACGCCGCGUGAGCGAUGAAGGUCUUCGGAUCGUAAAGCUCUGUCCUUGGGGAAGAAGGUCUUCGGACUUGACGGUACCCAUGGAGGAAGCCCCUGCUAACUACGUGCCAGCAGCCGCGGUAAGACGUAGGGGGCAAGCGUUGUCCGGAUUUAUUGGGCGUAAAGGGUUCGCAGGUGGCCUUUUAAGUCAGAUGUGAAAGAUCAAGGCUUAACCUUGGUAAGCAUUUGAAACUGAAAGGCUUGAGUUAAGGAGAGGAAAGUGGAAUUCCUAGUGUAGCGGUGAAAUGCGUAGAUAUUAGGAGGAAUAACAGUGGCGAAGGCGACUUUCUGGACUUAUACUGACACUGAGGAACGAAAGCAUGGGGAGCAAACA